CAGCCGCCGCGGUAAUACGAAGGGGGCUAGCGUUGUUCGGAUUUACUGGGCGUAAAGCGCACGUAGGCGGACUUUUAAGUCAGGGGUGAGAUCCCGGGGCUCAACCCCGGAACUGCCUUUGAUACUGGAAGUCUUGAGUAUGGUAGAGGUGAGUGGAAUUCCGAGUGUAGAGGUGAAAUUCGUAGAUAUUGGGAAGAACACCGGUGGCGAAGGCGGCGACCUGGUCCUUUACUGACGCUGAGGCGCGAAAGCGUGGGGAGCAAACAGGAUUAGAUACCCCCGUAGUCCCUGUCUCUUAUAC
This 301-nucleotide ribosomal RNA is filed under the name uncultured bacterium. RNAcentral describes it as "partial 16S ribosomal RNA". It matches the Rfam family "Bacterial small subunit ribosomal RNA", at positions 509 to 807 of the family's 1533-position model. The record is from RNAcentral.